RNAcentral lists this long non-coding RNA (200 nucleotides) under Musa acuminata (dwarf banana). RNAcentral describes it as "long non-coding RNA (MACU_LNC007237)". Lineage: Eukaryota; Viridiplantae; Streptophyta; Magnoliopsida; Zingiberales; Musaceae. The record is from RNAcentral.
CGGUCGAAGGCUUAAUAGUCCCAUUUUAGUUGGGUUGGUGGCCUCUUUAGGCUUGUAAAUAAAGGUUGUGUCAUGUGGACACGUGCGAGAGAUUUUCGAUCUGUAAUGGACCAUUUUACCCUUUGUUGUGCCACUGUUCAGAGCUUAUAAAGUCUGUUUAUAAUUUGCAUUGUCUAUGAAGUAUUUUUCGGAGAUGUUUG